ACAAUCAUCAUUUUGCUCGAUUCGUUGUAACACCUCCUCCAUAAUAAUCCCCAUAGCUUCAGCUUCCAUGGCCGUGCGAGUUACAGUUCCACCCUAAACCCUAACUACCAUAACAGAAACAAUGGACGAGAUUAUGGAGUUAUAUGAUGAUGAUAUAUGCUACACAGUCUGUAUGCAGAUAUUAAUUCCUCCGGCAAUGGAUUGGGCAUCUCAUUAAAUGACUAAGGAAACACAAUUAAUCUUUUACACAUGCCUCACACUCAUUAUUAUGAAGUACUUUCGUCGGUUCGUCCUUUGGAUCGAUCCAUACAUCAACGUCAGCGAAAGGAUUCUCUCUUCAAUUUCGUCGAUGAACCCUCGACAGUGAAGGACCAUAUAUGCCUCGCAAUCGCUAUCAAUUGGGCGCUGUCUCACAUCUUCCGUUGGAUGGACAUCAUGGAUGAAGAGGUCAUAGACAUCAUGGAUGAAGAAGAGGUCAUGGACAUCAUGGAUGAUGAAGAGGUUUAGGGCAAUUUAGUCUUCAAUUGAUAAGGCAUUUGCCUACCCUUAGUUAAAAACCUGACACCUAACUAAAAUUUGGGAAAUUUAGUCUUCAAUUGAUAAGGCAUUUGCCUACCCUUAGUUAGAAACCUUACACCUAACUAAAAUUUGGGAAAUUUAGUCUUCUAUUUUAGAGGCAAAGUUUCAAGUUUUGUUAAUAUGUUGAAAUUAACAUAUUUUAGUAAAUGAAAACAGUGUUUGCAAAUUGCAAGUAUACAAUGCUAGAGUUUCUAUGUUCU
Trifolium pratense (red clover) is the source of this 779-nucleotide long non-coding RNA. RefSeq lists it as uncharacterized. Lineage: Eukaryota; Viridiplantae; Streptophyta; Magnoliopsida; Fabales; Fabaceae. The record is from RefSeq and is a predicted model, not a curated record. The transcript has 2 exons.